CGCGGCCUAUCAGCUUGUUGGUGAGGUAACGGCUCACCAAGGCAUCGACGGGUAGCUGGUCUGAGAGGACGAUCAGCCACACUGGGACUGAGACACGGCCCAGACUCCUACGGGAGGCAGCAGUAGGGAAUCUUGCGCAAUGGGCGAAAGCCUGACGCAGCAACGCCGCGUGGGGGAUGAAUGCCUUCGGGUUGUAAACCCCUUUCAGCAGGGACGAAAAUGACGGUACCUGCAGAAGAAGCUCCGGCCAGCUACGUGCCAGCAGCCGCGGUAAUACGUAGGGAGCGAGCGUUGUCCGGAAUUAUUGGGCGUAAAGAGCUCGUAGGCGGUUCGGUAAGUCGGGUGUGAAAACUCAAGGCUCAACCUUGAGACGCCACUCGAUACUGCUGUGACUUGAGUCCGGUAGAGGAGUGUGGAAUUCCUGGUGUAGCGGUGAAAUGCGCAGAUAUCAGGAGGAACACCAGCGGCGAAGGCGGCACUCUGGGCCGGUACUGACGCUGAGGAGCGAAAGCAUGGGGAGCAAACAGGAUUAGAUACCCUGGUAGUCCAUGCCGUAAACGUUGGGCACUAGGUAUGGGAUCAUAUCAACGGAUUCCGUGCCGUAGCUAACGCAUUAAGUGCCCCGCCUGGGGAGUACGG
RNAcentral lists this ribosomal RNA (639 nucleotides) under uncultured Actinomycetes bacterium. RNAcentral's name for it is "bacterial SSU rRNA". It matches the Rfam family "Bacterial small subunit ribosomal RNA", at positions 232 to 885 of the family's 1533-position model. The record is from RNAcentral. Lineage: Bacteria; Bacillati; Actinomycetota; Actinomycetes.